This 201-nucleotide long non-coding RNA is filed under the name Panax ginseng (ginseng). RNAcentral describes it as "long non-coding RNA (PGIN_LNC009055)". The record is from RNAcentral. Lineage: Eukaryota; Viridiplantae; Streptophyta; Magnoliopsida; Apiales; Araliaceae.
AAAAAGACGAUCAUUUUCAAUUCAUAUAAACCUUAAGUAAUAUGUUGUGCACAUAGCUUGGUAUAUAACAUUGAUCUAGGGAGUCUAGGUUGAGUAUCGAAUAGAUGGACAUGAAGGAGAGGGUAGUAGAGAACACUAGGAAAAAAGUAUAUGAAAAUGAGCAUCAAAGGUAUAGUUAAGUUUAUUUACACAAUGAAAUUG